This 159-nucleotide ribosomal RNA is filed under the name Triticum aestivum (bread wheat). RNAcentral describes it as "partial small subunit ribosomal RNA". Lineage: Eukaryota; Viridiplantae; Streptophyta; Magnoliopsida; Poales; Poaceae. The record is from RNAcentral.
AUGGCAUCCCUCACCAUGCUCAUUGGAUGGAUCAUUUGAAACGAGAGGAACGCCCGCAUUUUUCGCAACAAGAGCACGUCACCCCUAACUUUGUUCAACAACAUCAAGAAUGAAGCCGUCACUUGGGUAACCGCGGGGCUAAGAAACCGGGUACCAUAA